GAUGUGAUAUUUUGUUUGAAUGUGUUUUUUUUUUUUGUUUUGCAAAAAGUUAGUCCUUCAGUGGAAAAAAUAAAAAAAAAAUCCCAAACCCAACUUCCCAAACAUCACCUUAGUAAAUUUUGAAUUCAGAGAUAAACAAAUUUUUAGCCUAUGUCUUGUCUAUAAAUAACUAUGGUGAGAUGCAGUGCUAAGCUACAGGCUUUUUAUCCUUCAAUUGGCUUCUUCUGUCUGGGAGAUCUCCCAGUUCACAAACAACCUUGUAGGAUGUUCUUAUUUUUCUACUUCAUUUCCUUAUUAAUGUUCUGUUGCAAUUGCUUCAAACAUCCUGCUGAGCAACUUCCAAAUGACUGUUGUGCUCUGGAUUACAUAGGCUAUAUAUUGAAUCUGGCUAUCAAUUAGGCAGGAAGUCCUGAUUCUACGAGUGUUUUAAUGAAAGCUUGUCAUUUGCUUCUUCUUCAGGGAUUGUAAACUACUUUAACUGCUUAACCUACAGACCACUGUCACCUGUUGAUUUAAACUAAAGAAUGACUCAAUAACAUUUAAAAGACAACUAAUACUAUCAGGCCGCAUUUUAUUAUUCUCUUCAAAGGAAAUCCCAGGAAGGAAUUCAUAUAGAAUGGGUAAGGAUCACCGCCGGAAUCGAGUGUCAAAUGCAUAUUUCUCACUGUCUAUGGCUGUUGGUAACGUGCUUGGCUUUGCCACUGGAUCAUACGGUGGCUGGUUCAAGAUUUUUCCAUUCACUGUCACCUCUGCCUGCAAUGCUGACUGCCAAUCUCAAGUCUGCUUUCUUUCUUGACAUUGCUUUCAUUGUAAUUACUACAUAUAUAAGCAUAUCAGCUGCCAAUGAGCUGCCACUGAACCAUGGACCCUCUCACUUACGUGAAGAAAUGCCCGAACAGUCAAGUCAUGCUCAAGAGGCUUUCUUCUGGCAGUCAAAUCAAGUCAUGCUCAAGUCAUGUUUGGAACUUUUAGAUAUCUCUCAGGUCCUGUUUGGGUUAUCCUUCUUGUUACUGCUUUGACUUGGUUUGGCUGGUUUCCAUUUCUUCUCUUUGAUACUGAUUGGAUGGGUCGGGAAAUUUAUGGUGGCAAGCCAAAUGAAGGACAUAAUUAUAAUAGGGGAGUCAGAAUUGGUGCAUUUGAUCUGAUGUUGAAUUCAGGGGUUCUGGGAAUAACUUCUGAGUUCAUGGAGAAGAUGUGCCGGAAGUAGGGGGCUGGUGUUGUAUGGGGCAUUUCAAACAUCCUUAUGUCUCUGUGCUUUGUAUCAAUGCUUAUACUUUCUCACAUAGCAAACAAUUUGCAUAAAGCACACGAUGAUCUACCUCCAGAUGGUAUUGUAGCUGCUGUACUAGUAGUUUUUUCAAUUCUUGGCAUUACUUUGGCAGUAAGUUGCUCUGUUCUCCUCAAGAAGUUUUUUGUCAUCUUCUAGUCAUUGCUCAAAUGAAGUAGAGGACAAGAUGUUUUAAUAGAGCUGUCUCCCCUUGUGAAAAUAUGCAUUGCUAACACCUGACCAGUUCAUGCAUGCAAGGUCACUUUGCAUUGAUUUCACCCAUUUUAUCUUAGAUUAUAACAUUAUAUGUCCUAGUGUUACAUAUAAAAAAUGAUGUCUAGUGGUCAUCCUCAAAAUCUCUCUCAAGUCAGAAAAAUGCAAGAUUCAAGGAGAAAAAGUCUAAUGUAGUACAGAGGAAAACCAUACAGUUUGAUUUUGGCUUGGUAGAUUACACCAUGUCAGGUUAGCCCAUGAUAUGGGGUUUGGCGUGCCUGUAUUCAGGCAAUAGUAACUGUUAGGUCACCAAUUGUCCCCAGAACUCAAGUUGUUAGAAAAUGGGCACAACAAUGUAUAUCAAGUUAUUUAACACCCUCUCUCACGUGCAAUCUCGUCUUGCAUGUGGAGAUGCAAACAUCCAUACAUAAACAAAAGAAAGAAUGCAAACGGAGAACUUGAACCUAAUAGCCCCCCUAACCUAUGCUCUGAUACCAUGUUAAGUCACUGAUUGUUCCAAAUGCUUAAGUUGUUUGGAAAUAGGCCCAACCUUCAACAGUAACAUGGUCACGUGACUCCGAUUUUGACUUAAAGAAGACAAGCAAAAGCAUUUUUAUAGUUUUAAAAUAUUUUUUAAUGACAGUUUUUGAACUUGAUGUUGAUAUAUUCGCUUCAAACAAAUGAACCUUCUCCAACUGUUUCUUUGUCUGAACCAAAGAGAGAGAUCAGAAUGGUGUUGGCAGUGCGGGCAUCCUCAUCCAAAUAUUCUCAGUGGCUUUAUGAUAGAAUUCUGUUUUAACAAUAUUGAUUUGUGUUAUUUGAUACGAUGCUUCGCAGAUCACUUACAGUGUUCCUUAUGCCUUGAUAUCUUCACAUGUUGAGUCUCUAGGACUCGGCCAAGGAUUAUCAAUGGGUGUUCUGAAUGUGGCAAUUGUAAUCCCACAGGUAGUAACUACUUAGACCUUCUUAUUGUGUUCAUAGUAAUGUUGAUUUGUUUCUUUCCUUUUUAGCACGACUAAGUUAAAGUGGCGUGGAAGCGGUAGUUGUUUAGAAGCCUACUUGAUUACCCUCAACUAUUUGAUCAUUAGUCAGAGACUCCAAGAAUAAUAUGUAGUUACUCAUUGGUGACCCUUAAUAUAGUAAUUUACUCUUCAAUACCCACUUGAUGGCAGUGCGUUGCACUUGAAGUCUGGAACAGGUAUGGAGAUUUUUGAAUUGACAUAAUGAUCCUGAUUGAAAUCUUAUAGUUAUACUAAUUGCUUUGGUUUUAGUAGUUAAUUUUGCCAGGCAUUGAUUAAUUAAUUCCAUUACUUUCAGUUGAGGGCAGUUAACUUGAAUGUAUUUGAACAAUGAGAAAGGGUGUGAUCCUCAUAUUCUGGAUGUUAUAGUGUGGAGUAAGAUAAAAGAAAAAGAAUAGUGAUUUUCUUCAAUGGAACAUCUCUACUACAAUUUUAUUUAAAAAUUUUGUUGGUUUUGCGAGCCUCUUUACUGUGUUUUUUAUCAGCAAGUUAUAAAUAUCUAGUAAUCAUACAAAUUCUAGAGGUGCUGCAAAUUUAAAUAAUUGUGCAUGCAUGUGAAAGCGUCUUGUGUGACAUUAGGCAUGAGUUACUUAUUCUUAAUUCCAGUAGAGAUGUGGAAAUUGUCACACUUUAAGCAGGUAUUUUUGUGGCUCUCAUGAAAUUUACACGUAAAAUGAAGUUUUUCAAAUAUCUCAAGAUAUCUAACCAUCAUUAUGGGCAGCUGAUCUCUGCCUCCUUUGUUUCUGUGUAUGAAAUGGAAGACUCCUCAUGCAAUACAAGUAUUGUCCUUCGAAGCCUUGUUCUGUGUUAUGCAUCCAAUAAAGGAUCACUUUUUCUGUGUCUUUCUCUUGCAAAUCUUCUUUUUGUUUUAUAAUGAAGAACUUAAUUUUUUAUUCUUUCAUUUGAGAUGGUGUUUACCUAUACCAGAAAUAAGGUGUUCUUUAAAGCAGUGGCAAAAAUAUCAUGACAACCAAUCAGCUAAACUUCCGGACAUCCACUGAUUUAUUUUUGGAAUUUGAGUGGAAUUGAAUAAUGUUCAAUUACUUAUUUAUUUAUUUAUUAUAAUUUUAAAGUGCAAACCCAUGCCUUUAAAAGAUUAUUAUUAUUUUACUUUUAACUGUAUCCGUAAGAAAAUUAUUUGAAUGCAUAUCAUUGAUCACCUUCUUUACUAACUAAUGCACUCUCGGAGAGCUAUUGCUGUGUAGUUCUCUAGGACCGUAUAUUUGUGAAGAAAGUUUGUGGAACAUGUGUUAAUUUUAUCAACAACAACUACAAUAAUAAUAAUAAUAAUUAUAGUAAUUUUUGCCUUCUCUAGCAACCCACCAAAAGUACAUUGAGGCAACCUUAACAUUAUGCUUGGGCAAUUGUAGAAUGGGAUGUUUUUGUUAUCUCUUAAAAUAGUGGAUUCACAAUAAAUGUGCAAUUCAAUCGACUCUAGCUAUAGUAAAGUGCAUUCUUUUUUAAUUUGUCUUAGUAGGUUUUCUUUAUACUUCUAAUAUGUUCAGCUUUUGUUUAUUGUUGGUGCUUCCUGUUAAACGAUUCUACUAAUUGGUUUAAGUGCAAAUGAAGAUUUCUUGGAGGAAAAACAUUGAAUAGCAUGUAACUCAAGUGUUCCUGUUUUUAGCUAUUUAGGUGAUGAUAGUUUGGUGUUUGAGAACAAAUUGUGGUGUCUCGUGGAAGUGGACCAUGGGAUCAGCUAUUUGGUGCUGGUAACUCACCAUCUUUGGCUGUGGCAGCAGUUGCAGCCUUUACUAGUGGGCUUAUAGCCAUCUUGGCUAUUCCACGAGCUGGAGCUGAUAAGUCCAGGGGCCAGUAAUGAGGUAAUCUGUUGUAUCCUACAUUACAUGGACUCAGUUAUGGGCAAAAAAUGCAAGUAAUUGUCCGAGUGGCGGAUUUAUCCAAUUCCCAUAUCUAAGGAGACGGGGAUAUGACAUAUUUAUGCUUCUUAAUAUUCUUUUAUUUUAUAGGAUAAAAUGGUGUUUACAAGGUCACAUAAAACAUUUCUUGCAUAAUGUGAGAGUUUUAAGUUAUAUGGAAAACUCGAAUGGUUGGACAGGCUUGUUGAAUGAAUGUCCAACUGCACGUCAGAGAUAUCCCAUACCGGGUAAGUGUCAAAUGUCCAAUAUGGCUACUUCACACAUUUAGAAAAGUACAUGUAACAUAGGUUGUAUUGUAUAUAUCUUGCAUUUUGUACAUAGCUUUGGGUAGAUUUAUAUUGAUUUCCAUUGUAUGGCUUUUUUUUUCUUUUUUUUUUAUAUUGCUUCAUUUUUUUUUUUUUUGGUCUGCAUUGCGUCAUUCAACCUACUAAAGUUAGUGGAUAUAAUGUCUAUUUUCUGGUUUAGUUAUUUAAAUUGCAUCCAAUAUAAGCUAUACUCCAUGUGACAGAUAAAGAUUGGAGUUCAGAAAUAAAGCAACAACAUCGAUAAAAACUUUGUUGUGUUAGGUGAAACAAAAAUGUCUCAUUUAUAGGUGUGGUAUGUACUUGUGUCACCUAUUGCUGGACAGUGGAUUUGAGUUCCACUACUUUUAAAGCAACAACAGUUCAAUUAUCUGUGUGACCUAAAUGACUCAUGUAUGGAUAUUUUAGAUGUGUUCAUAAUAUUUGUCAUUGCAUACUUUCCCGAGAGAAGUAUCCAAUUGAGGUAUAAAGAGAGGUUUAUACCUUUUAUGCCCAAAAUUGCAACUCUUCAAGUGAUGAUCUAACUGCUGUGGUGAAUGCUGUGUGGAAGAAGUUAUCUGUACUUUGUGGAGAAUUUUCUUUAAUGAAGAACGAACCCAUCUAGAAUUUUUGCUUUACGGUGGCUGAUCACCAUCUAGAAGAAAAUGAAAGCCUCAACCAUGGAUUUUAUGUGGGAUUGCUCUCUAUAAUUCCGUUCCAUACCAAGAUAAGUUGCUGUUGAUCGUGAUUUGUUCCUCGUGCAAUAGUAUGGUCCCUUUCUUCUAGGAAUGCUGAUAGCCCAUUGAUGGUUCAGUUGUUGAUGUUGUGGAAUCUUAUGCAGAUUGUUUGCAAAUUGUGUUUGGGUAUUUUAAUUGUGCUUGGUGGCCAACAGUUAUAUGUAAACUGUGCAGAUUGAGACCUCCAUGGAUAGAUGUCUCUUUUAUGCUCUGUUUCUUUGGAAAGCUUUUGCUGAUUUUUGGGGAGGAUGCUCUGCUCUGUAUCAUUAUUUUGUAAAUUAUUCUCUUCUUUUUUCCCUCCCUUUUUUUCUUGCUGGCUUUGGAACCUUGGAAUAAAUUCCCCUUUUUAUUGCA
Non-coding RNA from Camellia sinensis, 5748 nucleotides. Lineage: Eukaryota; Viridiplantae; Streptophyta; Magnoliopsida; Ericales; Theaceae. The record is from RefSeq and is a predicted model, not a curated record.